GAAACAUCCCUAUGGAGCAGGACUUGCUUCAGUGGGGCUUGGGUGCUCACUGAAUCUGCUUCUUGAGUGGGUUGCU
This 76-nucleotide microRNA precursor is filed under the name Myotis lucifugus (little brown bat). Its description in RNAcentral is "mir-9229 microRNA precursor family". It matches the Rfam family "mir-9229 microRNA precursor family". The record is from Rfam by way of RNAcentral. Lineage: Eukaryota; Metazoa; Chordata; Mammalia; Chiroptera; Vespertilionidae.